AUUGAACGCUGGCGGCGUGCUUUACACAUGCAAGUCGAACGGUAGCGCGGGCUUCGGCUUGGCGGCGAGUGGCGAAGGGGUGUGUAAUGGAACGGAACGGGCACGGGUGUGGGGGAUAGCUCGGCGAAGGGGGGAGUAGUAGGGCAUACGACCUGAGGGUGAAAGAGGGUGACCGUAAGGACGAGCGGUAUUGGAGCGGGCGAUGGCGGAUUGGCUAGUUGGUGGGGUAAAGGCUUACCGAGGCGAAGAUCGGUAGCUGGUCAGAGAGGAAGGCCACCCACACCGGCACGGAGGCACGGCCCACACUCCUGCGAGAGGGACCAGUGCCAAACUUUGGACAAUGGGGGCAACCCUGAACCAGCCAUGCCGCGUGCGAGACGAAGGCCUCCGGGUUGUAAACCUCUUUUGUUCGUGGAGAAAUCCUCUGGGCUAAUACCCCGAGAGAAUGACGGUACCGGAAGAAUAAGCACCGGCUAACUACGUG
This 484-nucleotide ribosomal RNA is filed under the name uncultured bacterium. Its description in RNAcentral is "partial 16S ribosomal RNA". It matches the Rfam family "Bacterial small subunit ribosomal RNA", at positions 29 to 507 of the family's 1533-position model. The record is from RNAcentral.